RNAcentral lists this ribosomal RNA (253 nucleotides) under uncultured bacterium. Its description in RNAcentral is "partial 16S ribosomal RNA". It matches the Rfam family "Bacterial small subunit ribosomal RNA", at positions 524 to 776 of the family's 1533-position model. The record is from RNAcentral.
UACGGGGGGGGUAAGCGUUGUUCGGAAUUACUGGGCGUAAAGGGCUCGUAGGCGGCCAACUAAGUCAGACGUGAAAUCCCUCAGCUUAACUGGGGAACUGCGUCUGAUACUGGAUGGCUUGGAUUCGGGAGAGGAAUGCGGAAUUCCAGGUGUAGCGGUGAAAUGCGUAGAUAUCUGGAGGAACACCGGUGGCGAAGGCGACAUUCUGGACCGAUAUUGACGCUGAGGAGCGAAAGCCAGGGGAGCAAACGGG